AUGGGAAUGAGGUCAGCAAGGCCAAGUUGUCCCUUCGAGGCGGAAAAGUACUUUCUCCGGGUCGGUGUUCCAUACAAGAGUCCUGGAACAAAGAAUGAAUAAAUACUGGCAUUUCGAUGGCGGCAGUGUUAACUUAAUUUGCUUUCUGUCAGUGGAUACAGACAGAGAGUAGUGCUAACUUCGUGCCCCUGGGAAUCUCGUGCAUUGCACAAGGCAGCUGUGUAGAACUACUCCUCCCCGUUAUCCCCAUGUCUGCGUGGGUUUCUUCCAGGUGCUCCAGUUUCCUCCCACAUUCCAAAGACGUACGGGUUAGGAAGUUGUGGGCAUGCUAUGUUGGCGCCGGAAGCGUGGCGACACUUGCGGGCUGCCUCCAGAACACUCUACGCAAAAGAUGUAUUUCACUGUGUGUUUCGACGUACAUGUGACUAAUAAAGAUAUCUUAUCUUAUAUC
Molecule: long non-coding RNA, 451 nt
Organism: Pristis pectinata (smalltooth sawfish)
Lineage: Eukaryota; Metazoa; Chordata; Chondrichthyes; Rhinopristiformes; Pristidae
Exons: 3
Source: RefSeq, a predicted model, not a curated record